RNAcentral lists this ribosomal RNA (365 nucleotides) under uncultured organism. Its description in RNAcentral is "bacterial LSU rRNA". It matches the Rfam family "Bacterial large subunit ribosomal RNA", at positions 2099 to 2465 of the family's 2925-position model. The record is from RNAcentral.
CUUUACUGCAACUUGACAUUGGAUUCUGGCUGUACUUGUGUAGGAUAGGUGGGAGGCUUUGAUGUAGUGCCGCCAGGUAUUACGGAGCCAUCGUUGAAAUACCACCCUGGUGCUGACGGAAUUCUAACCUGGUCCAUGAUCUGGAUCAGAGACAGUGUCUGGUGGGCAGUUUGACUGGGGCGGUCGCCUCCUAAAGGUAACGGAGGCAUCCAAAGGUCCCCUCAGCGUGGUCGGUAAUCACGCGCAGAGUGCAAAGGCAUAAGGGGGCUUAACUGCGAGACCGACAGGUCGAGCAGAUGGGAAACCAGGGCUUAGUGAUCCCGCGGUUUAGCGUGGAAUUGCCGUUGCUCGAUGGAUAAAAGGUA